This 918-nucleotide ribosomal RNA is filed under the name Triticum aestivum (bread wheat). Its description in RNAcentral is "partial small subunit ribosomal RNA". Lineage: Eukaryota; Viridiplantae; Streptophyta; Magnoliopsida; Poales; Poaceae. The record is from RNAcentral.
AUGCACUUCCAUGACAGAGACAACUUGGAGAGAUCAGUUUGCAUUUCAGACAUAACAUAUUAUAAUUUGGUUGCCCUAAUAGAGACAGAGGGAUAUGGGCUUAAUGAUUUCAUGUAUUUUGUGAGGGAUCCUGGUGUGGGGAUUACAGGAAUGGAUGAAAUUUGUGAUGAUGAUAAGGUGGAUGAAAUGCUUGACCAUAUUGCUAACAAUGAUCAGAAUGUAGUGAACUUGAUAGUGGUUAGGGGCACUGAUCCAAGACCUGCAGAUUUGAACUCAGGCUAUCUGGUUGAGGAGCAGGUUCCUUUGAGCCAUAUAGGAGAGAACCCUGUGUAUGUAGUAAAUCCUUCUGGUGUUCUCUUAAGAUCACCACCAAAAAGUAUAAUACAGAGUCCGCCAGAGCCAUUGCAGUUCUACACUACACAGCAGAGCACAAACCAUGAUCUGGAUACAAAUGCUGCCAUGGACCAAUGCAAUGCAGCAGAGCAGGAUGAACUGGAGACAUUAAUGGAGUUGAAGAGGAGAACAAAGAUUGCCAAAUUUAGGAAACAUAAGAUUGCAGCUGAGCAUGUAAAUAAGGUUAAGCAGAAGCUACCAAUUCUUCUAACUGAAGAUGAUUCAGAUCUGGAUGCAGAUGAGGACUAUCUUCAGAGGCUUAAUGAGAUGAGGAAGCAAAGAGAGGAUCCACACAUUCAUUUUGAUGGAGACACUGAUGUGGAUGAAGUGUAUGAGGAAGAUGAGGAAGGGCAACAUGUGGAGGUGGAGCAAGAGGAGCAGGUGGAGCAAGAUGAGCAGGUGGAGCAGCAAGAGGUGCCUACAAAGAAGAAGAAAGCUAGAAAAGGGCCAACAGAGAGGAAUAUGAUGAUGGAGCUGAGGAAGUACAAUUUGUUCUGCCCAAUGGAAGGAAGAGCAGAUCAGUGA